RNAcentral lists this ribosomal RNA (272 nucleotides) under uncultured Staphylococcus sp. RNAcentral's name for it is "partial 16S ribosomal RNA". It matches the Rfam family "Bacterial small subunit ribosomal RNA", at positions 90 to 354 of the family's 1533-position model. The record is from RNAcentral. Lineage: Bacteria; Bacillati; Bacillota; Bacilli; Caryophanales; Staphylococcaceae.
CGUUAGCGGCGGACGGGUUAGUAACACGUGGAUAACCUACCUAUAAGACUGGGAUAACUUCGGGAAACCGGAGCUAAUACCGGAUAAUAUAUUGAACCGCAUGGUUCAAUAGUGAAAGACGGUUUUGCUGUCACUUAUAGAUGGAUCCGCGCCGCAUUAGCUAGUUGGUAAGGUAACGGCUUACCAAGGCAACGAUGCGUAGCCGACCUGAGAGGGUGAUCGGCCACACUGGAACUGAGACACGGUCCAGACUCCUACGGGAGGCAGCAGGU